CAGCUUGAAAAGGCGUUAUCUUUCAACCCAUUGAACCCAGAACACUUGAACUCAGAAUAGGAUUCUACGGUUACACCUUUUAAUGGUGUCGUUGCUUCAAUGAAGAAACUGAGCUCCAGGACACACUGCAGUGAGGGAAAGAGUGGUGUGGUGUGGACAGACCUGGUUAAAAGAAAGUGUAAGGGGGCUGGAGAGAUGGCUCAGAGGUUAAGAGCACCGACUACUCUUCCAGAGGUCCUGAGUUCAAUUCCCAGCAACCACAUGGUGGCUCACAACCAUCUGUAAUGAGAUCUGGUGCCCUCUUAUGUUGUGCAGAUAUGUAUGGAAACAGAAUGUUGUAUACAUAAUAAAUAAAAUCUUAAAAAAAGAAAGUGUAAAUAAUUGUAAUGAAUUGUUGGUACCUGGGUCAUUCAUUGCAAUGCAUAAUUUAAUUUUAAUUCAAAUCACUAUCGGUUUUAAAUGUAGUCAAUAAGUAUCAAUUAAAG
RNAcentral lists this long non-coding RNA (485 nucleotides) under Cricetulus griseus (Chinese hamster). RNAcentral's name for it is "lncRNA (ENSCGRG00015042464.1)". Lineage: Eukaryota; Metazoa; Chordata; Mammalia; Rodentia; Cricetidae. The record is from RNAcentral.